This 508-nucleotide ribosomal RNA is filed under the name uncultured bacterium. RNAcentral's name for it is "bacterial SSU rRNA". It matches the Rfam family "Bacterial small subunit ribosomal RNA", at positions 30 to 530 of the family's 1533-position model. The record is from RNAcentral.
AUUGAACGCUGGCGGCAUGCUUUACACAUGCAAGUCGAACGGUAACAGGGAGCUUGCUCCGCUGACGAGUGGCGAACGGGUGAGUAAUGCAUCGGAACGUACCCAGUCGUGGGGAGUAACGUAGCGAAAGUUAACGCUAAUACCGCAUACGUCCUGAGGGAGGAAAGACGGGGACCGGUAAGGCCUCGCGCGAUUGGAGCGGCCGAUGUCGGAUUAGCUAGUUGGUAGGGUAAAGGCCUACCAAGGCGACGAUCCGUAGCGGGUCUGAGAGGAUGAUCCGCCACACUGGGACUGAGACACGGCCCAGACUCCUACGGGAGGCGAGCAGUAAGGAAUAUUGGUCAAUGGACGCAAGUCUGAACCAGCCAUGCCGCGUGAAGGAUGAAGGCCCUCUGGGUUGUAAACUUCUUUUAUCUGGGACGAAAAAAGGGAAUUCUUUCCCACUUGACGGUACCAGAGGAAUAAGCACCGGCUAACUCCGUGCCAGCAGCCGCGGUAAAGUACAGUG